GGAAGGAUCAUUAACACGUUCCUUGAACGUAAGCCCAAAACAAAAACCGUCUCGUCGUGGUGUCGGACUGCAAGUCUAACGCGGCGAGGCAAAUUUUACCCAGAGUACCGUCUGUACAACAAGUUUUUUGUUGCUUGAUUUUUCGGGCACUUGUGCCUCGGAAAAUCAAAAAAUAAAUAAAACAAAACAACUCUUAGCAACGGAUAUCUAGGCUCUCGUAUCGAUGAAGAACGCAGCGAAAUGCGAUACGUAAUGCGAAUUGCAGAAUUCAGUGAAUCAUCAAAUCUUUGAACGCAACUUGCGCUCUUGGGUUACGCCCGGGAGCAUGCCUCUCUGAGUAUCACCUUCACAACAACUCGGCUGCGUGCCGGUGAAUGAGCGUCUUGCGGGCUGUUUUCUGCAGCUUCAAGUUGUCUUCAAGUUGUGCGUGAGCUGCUGUGCCUGGUGACGAAACUCGCUUAGGGCUGCUCAUGUGCGGUAGUCGUCUUUGUACGAAUCCUCACAUUGGGAUGUGGUCAGAGUUUUUGAUCCUGCUGGCUGGCAAACGAAAAACAGGAAAAUUUAGUGGGAGCGUUCGCGCCACCACAACCCUUUUGAUCUCAGAUGAAGCAGGAUUACCCGCCGAAUUUAAGCAUAUUAUUAAGCGGAGGAAAAGAAACUAACCAGGAUUCCCCUAGUAACGGCGAGUGAAGCGGGAAUUGCUCAACCUGAAAAUCGUCGUGCCAAGCGGCAUGUUCGGAUUGUGGGCUAGAGGCACCUUAUCAGCAAGUGGCCCGGGUACAAGUCUUUUGGAACAAGGUAUCACAGAGGGUGAGAAUCCCGUCUCUGAUCCGGGGUCCGCUGCGUACGAGGGGUGCUAACAGAGUCGAAUAGCUUGGGAAUGCUGUUCUAAUUGGGUGGUAAAUUUCAUCUAAAGCUAAAUACCGACGAGAGACCGAUAGCAAACAAGUACCGCGAGGGAAAGAUGAAAAGAACUUUGAAAAGAGAGUUAAAAAGUACUUGAAAUUGCUAAGAGGUAAGCACUGGAAACCAGUAGGGCACGGCACAUAUUCCCGCCUGGCACUUUGCCCGGUGUUGUUCAGGACCGCAAGGCCUGGAUGGCGCUGUCGCUUGGUGUCAGGUGGCCCCAGUGUGUCGGGUAUGUCAGCGUCGGUUUUGGUUGGAGCAGAAUGCUGCUGGCAAGGUCGGUUGUGCCUUCGGGCGCAACCACUAACAUGGCCGGUGGUGCCUAUACUCCGACUCGGAGACCGAGGACAUGGCAACGCACGCCUGCGGCUGCGUGCCCCGUUCCUGCCGCUGGCCGGUGUCACCAGAACAAAGUUCUGGUGGUGUCGCGCCGUGUGGUACUGGGUGGAGGCACGACAUGUGCGUUCGCGAUGCUGACAAAAUGGUUUUCAAUGAAUCGUCUUGAAACACGGACCAAGGAGUCUAACAUAUAUGCGAGUAUUUGGGUGCACAAAACCCUGAUGCGGAAUGAAAGUGAAGGCAAACCUCGUUGUUUGCUGAGGUAGGAACCGUCGGUUCGUAGCCGGCGGGGCACUAUCGACCGAUCGCUCACUUGUGAGAGAUUCGAGUAAGAGCAUAUCUGUUGGGACCCGAAAGAUGGUGAACUAUGCCUGAGCAGAUCGAGGCCAGGGGAAACCCUGGUGGAGGAUCGUAGCGAUACUGACGUGCAAAUCGUUCGUCUGACUUGGGUAUAGGGGCGAAAGACUAAUCGAACCAUUUAGUAGCUGGUUCCCUC
Molecule: unclassified non-coding RNA, 1741 nt
Filed under: uncultured fungus
Lineage: Eukaryota; Fungi
Description: sequence contains 18S rRNA gene, ITS1, 5.8S rRNA gene, ITS2, 28S rRNA gene
Rfam family: Eukaryotic large subunit ribosomal RNA (bases 595-1741)
Source: RNAcentral